Molecule: ribosomal RNA, 560 nt
Filed under: uncultured bacterium
Lineage: Bacteria
Description: bacterial SSU rRNA
Rfam family: Bacterial small subunit ribosomal RNA
Source: RNAcentral
AGGGGGAAGCCACUUUCGGGUGGUGGAGACCGGCGCACGGGUGAGUAACGCGUGGGAAUUUACCCUGGGGUGGGGAAUAACCGCUGGAAACGGCGGCUAAUACCGCAUACGCCUUUCGAGGGAAAGCUUUAGUGCCCUGGGAUGAGCCCGCGUUAGAUUAGGUAGUUGGUGGGGUAAAGGCCUACCAAGCCAUCGAUCUAUAGCUGGUCUGAGAGGAUGAUCAGCCACACUGGGACUGAGACACGGCCCAGACUCCUACGGGAGGCAGCAGUGGGGAAUAUUGGACAAUGGGGGCAACCCUGAUCCAGCCAUGCCGCGUGCGUGAAGAAGGCCUUAGGGUUGUAAAGCGCUUUCACUGGUGAAGAUGAUGACGGUAGCCAGAGAAGAAGCCCCGGCUAACUCCGUGCCAGCAGCCGCGGUAAUACGGAGGGGGCAAGCGUUGUUCGGAAUUACUGGGCGUAAAGGGCGCGUAGGCGGGAAGUCAAGUUAGGGGUGAAAGGCCUGGGCUCAACCUAGGAACUGCCUCUAAAACUGGCUUUCUAGAGUCCGGGAGAGGAUGG